RNAcentral lists this unclassified non-coding RNA (248 nucleotides) under uncultured Ochrocladosporium. RNAcentral describes it as "partial contains 5.8S ribosomal RNA, internal transcribed spacer 2, and large subunit ribosomal RNA". The record is from RNAcentral. Lineage: Eukaryota; Fungi; Ascomycota; Dothideomycetes; Pleosporales.
AACGCACAUUGCGCCCCUUGGUAUUCCAUGGGGCAUGCCUGUUCGAGCGUCAUUUGUACCUUCAAGCUCUGCUUGGUGUUGGGUGUUUGUCCCGCUUUCUGUGUGGACUCGCCUCAAAGCAAUUGGCAGCCGGCGUACUAGCCUGGGAGCGCAGCACAUUUUGCGCCCCUUGGCUUGAAUGCCUGCGUCCAUUAAGCCCUUUUUUUGCUCUUGACCUCGGAUCAGGUAGGGAUACCCGCUGAACUUAA